This 1945-nucleotide long non-coding RNA is filed under the name Malus domestica (apple). RNAcentral's name for it is "long non-coding RNA (MDOM_LNC015799)". The record is from RNAcentral. Lineage: Eukaryota; Viridiplantae; Streptophyta; Magnoliopsida; Rosales; Rosaceae.
ACUCUAAUAAAAACAGUCAGGCAUGCCAAUUUUAGAUUAAAUGGUAGUGUGAAUGAAAUGACAUUCCUAGUUCAUGAAUGUGUUCUUAAAUUAUAUAUUUGAAUAACAAUUCAUAAUUUCAUAUUUCAAUUUGGGAUUCUUGAUUUGUCCCAAAAUCCCGAAAAUAUUUCGGGAUUCCCGAAAUUUGGGAUUCCCGAAAAUUUGGUUUGGAAUUGGUCUUUAAAUUCCCGUCCCGAAAAUUUUCGGUUUAGGAUUCGGGAUACUAGUUUCGGUAUCCCCUAGUAACAAAGGCAAUGAGUGUAUGCCCAAGUGGGAGAAUUGACAAACAAAUAAUUGAGCUUCACACUCAUUGAAUCUAAGUCACACAUGCUUAGUUCCAAAAGAUCUGUGGGAGUUGUUCUUAUGCUAAUAUAUGUUUGUAAAGUUUUGAGUAUGAAACUUAGUUUUAUAUUUGCAUAUUUCUCCUUAGAAUUUUAAAGUCAAGUUUGUGGAAAUAAGAUGCAUGCUAUAAUUGAAAUUUUCUAGAUUUUAUUAGGAUUGUCCAGUUUUCAAUCCUAUAAUUGUUCCACUAUUUGUUUUUGAAUUUGUAUGCAUGUAUGACAGUAUUCUCAUGUUUUAACACUCGUACCAUACAUGAUUAAUACUAUUUGGUUAAGUUCUUGUAAAGACAAUUGCAUUUAAGUUGUUUGGUACAUACUAUUUGGAGGUAAUGACUGAAAGAAUUGACAUGAAGUUAUACUUGCUAAACGAAUUUGGCUUAACAUAUUCAUUGUUGUAUAAUAUGAUUAAAUGUAAGGUGCAAGAACAUGUUUUUUGAUGAUUAUAUGCAUCUAGUUGUGGUAUUUGUUUCUCGAAUUCAAUAUAAGAUAUAAUUGAUUAGUGGGAGGAACAAUUUAAAUGUGUGGCUUAUGUCAUAAGGGAUGUUUAGCUAAUUAUGUUGAUAUGUGCCUCACUUGUUUGAUUUAUGAAUGUGGGUUUAAAUUUCAGUUCUUAUAUAUAUAGUUGAAAUUGUGGCUGGUUAUGACUAGUCGAAUGAGGAUACAAGUUGGCAUUACACAUUCAUAUAAGGCUGUUUUGAUUUACUAAGCCGUGAAGGUUUUAUGCAGUUGUUAGUUAGUUUAGUUUGCAAUUCAUGACAAUAAGGAAGCACCAAAAUUUACAAGCUGCAUUAAGGUAUGGAUUUAAUCUUUAGUUUAUGUUGUGAAUUCCAUAAAGUAGUGAAGGUGUAUUUUUUAGGUGCGUUCUAAGUACUAGGAGGUUUGAGUUUUGUACUUAGGUUUUGUAAUUCAGAACACAUAAAGUAGCAACGAACGUCUUAAACUGCAAAAGAGUUGUGUCAUCAAUUUUGUUAGACACAAAAGUAAGUUGGUUCUGCAGUUUAUGAGCUUCAUAGGAAGCAUAAGGCAAUCUUAUAAAAAUUGAUAAGGAGGACCAAUAAGUGAAUGAAUUGAUGCUUUCAAUUCAGGUUUUGAUUCACUUAACUACCAAAUCUGUGACGUAUGUUUCAUGUGAAUGGAGAGCUUAUUUCAGUGAUUAUAAGAGCUCAUGGAUACUACAAGUUUAUAGUCUCCGAUAAUUCUAGAUAAGUAAACUCCAUUUGACAGAACAUGUAAGAAGCUUAUUAGCUGACUAAAUUCAUUGGCCAAUAAAGUAAUCUUGCUUAUAAAUCCAUUAAAGAUCUUUUUUGAGUUAAUUGUUUGACCUAGUGGGAGAAUGUUGGACGUUGGACCAUAAUCCAACGGUUUAUAGGUCUACACAGUUAAUAUAAGGAAUGCUUAGAAUAUAAAUGUUGGAACCCCAUUUGAUCCACAUCGGCUAGAGGGAAAAGGAGAAAGCACUUUAAAUAGAGUUACCCCACUCUAACUAAUACCGAUGCCUUUUGUGAUAAAACUCCACACCUAAUGGAUUAGGCAGGUGGUAAAGUGGGGAUAAUAUCGGUGUUGUU